GGCAACUAUUGAUAAGUUAUUUCUCUGCUAGCGAAAUGAGCCAGUUCAAGCCAGAUUAAAUUAUAUUAAGCGAAGGCUUAUUGGGAAGCUGCUCUCAGGCUGUAACCUGGAAGAAAAGAACCAAGCAAGCCCAAGGCUGUUGCUAGUCACGCGUUCCAUUUUGUUCACUUGGAAUCAGGGAACACUAAAAUCCUUUUUGGAGCAAUGGACCUCACCCUUCAACUUCCGCAUCCUCCCAAGCCAUAAUGCUAUCCAGAAUUCCAGGCAGCUCCCCAAAGCCCAUAGGGUUCUCAAUACAGGGCCAGGUGUGAGAUUCCCGGAGGGACCCUCACGCUCAA
Long non-coding RNA from Mastomys coucha (southern multimammate mouse), 338 nucleotides. RefSeq lists it as uncharacterized. The record is from RefSeq and is a predicted model, not a curated record. The transcript has 3 exons. NCBI's taxonomy places the organism in Eukaryota, Metazoa, Chordata, Mammalia, Rodentia, Muridae.